RNAcentral lists this ribosomal RNA (200 nucleotides) under uncultured bacterium. RNAcentral's name for it is "partial 16S ribosomal RNA". It matches the Rfam family "Bacterial small subunit ribosomal RNA", at positions 8 to 208 of the family's 1533-position model. The record is from RNAcentral.
AGAGUUUGAUCCUGGCUCAGAUUGAACGCUGGCGGCGUGCCUAACACAUGCAAGUCGAGCGAUGAAGCCUUUCGGGGUGGAUUAGCGGCGGACGGGUGAGUAACACGUGGGUAACCUGCCUCAAAGAGGGGGAUAGCCUCCCGAAAGGGAGAUUAAUACCGCAUAACAUUAGUUUUUCGCAUGAAGAACUAAUUAAAGGA